ACACACAGUUUAGUCCACUCCCACAGGAAGUGAAAUGUGGCACCGUAACUGAAGGAACGAGGAAGUAUCUUACAUGUGGAGCUUUUCGGUCUCUACAGAGGACUCCCCCGCUACCAAAACAAGGGCUGCUGGGUAAUGGCUGCUCUCGGGGCUUUUCUCACUCUUGCUGUGUGUCUCCUAAUUGGACGUGCGGGAUCAGGAGCGUCCAAAUGGAGACCAAACAUCUGAUCCUGGCCUGUGAGGAGCUGAGCAACCAGUGCCUGCCCGUCCAUUUUGAGGGAAACUCUGCAGACGCAAAGCCAAACAACAACGCCAGAGGCUGCCAGGAAACACGCACCGGGGAUGACGCUCCCAGCUAUAAAAUGACGUGGCUCUGGUUGUUAUCUGCUCUUCUUGUUAUUGUUUAUGGCUACCACCAUUAAUUUGAGAAUCUAGAUGGGACACUAAGACUUCUCAACACGUUUGAGAAAAACCUUAAUUUGAAAAGUGUUGUUUGUUAUAUCUAUAUUAAUCUCAGAACAGCAAAGGGAAAAACAUUUAUCUAAUGUGUUAUAUUCCACUAUUUCAUGCCUGUGUAUCUGUUGCAUCACUGGGAGAUAAUGAGAGGGGUGGUGCUCUAAAGGCAUUUCAUUUCAAUUAAAGUAACAGUAAUUAGUGCAUGAAUGGCACAGAUGUGUAUUUUACAUUAAAAGACAUAAAUUGAAUUGCUGUAUGAAUUGGAUUUAAUUUAAUUUGAUAAAUUUAUGGUAUGAUUUAAUAAACAAGACAAUUUCCGCGACGGUUUAAUUUCAGUACGUAAAAUGUGAUACAGAUCAUUGUAACAACUUAACCCUGAACAUGAAGCGUCGUCUGGACAAUCUAAAACAGACAAACAAGAGAAACAACACCCACAGAUAUCAGUUUAAAUGUUUGCUUGAUCUCUGGAUCAUAAAUAUUUGUAGUGAAACUCACAGCUCAUGUGAGAAGCUUUUUCAAAUACAAACUCCACCAAAACCACUUCUUUGUCAGAACAUAAAGAUUAGAGAACAAAACCAUCACUAGUACUGGGAGGCAGUAGCUUAUUGAGCAAAGUAGACAGCCAAAGGCAUAUAGAAUAUUAGACGAUCGGACUAUUUCACACACACUAUCAAUUAGCCUCAACAUGCUCUCCUCACAUGCUGAUACAGUCGACACACAGAUGAUGGCAGUAUUGCACAAAUUUGUUAGAAAAAGAAAAAUAGUCACUUUUCUAUUAUUUUACAUGUAAACUCUCUUUUUAGACGCAUCUGACUAACUGACGAUGUAGGCUGAUGGUGGUCAGGUUUUUUUUUUUUAUAUUAGCUGUUUGCAUCCACCAAAUUAGAAAUACUAAUUUGAGCACACAAAUCAACCAGGUAUGUCUCAGAUGGAGGUUUUUUUCCAUCUCUUUCUCUCUUUUCCACACAGAUUAUUUUAUGUCUUUCUAUGCUAGAAGCAUACAAUAACUAAUGAUCUGCUCCUUAAUGCUGACAUUUAAUCUAUUACCUCUAACAAGUCUGGAUUAACUUGAGUAUUAAAUGAUUAAGAAGUUGAUUAAGCACAGAUUAAUUUAGUAAAAUGCACCAUGUACACCACAAUAUUUACUGAAGUUAUGAAGGCUUUAAAACUAGAUUUUGAUUCAGUGCCACUGUACGAGAUUAUUUAUAAUGCAGGUGUUACCUUAAGGACUUGACCAAUUCAGUUAAUGAAAUGCUUGCUAGUGUCGUCCUCCAUUGUUACAUGUAUUAGCUUAGUUAAUUAACUGGUGCAUUAGGGUCCAGCUGAUAGGGACGUUUAAGAGCACCUUCUGCUGGACCACAAGGAAAACUACUAAACGGUCAGACUGCACGUUAUUAAACAGGUCAUGGUAGUUUAAAUAUUAUUUCUACAUCCAUGUCCUAAACCCCUAAAAAGCCCUAAAACAACUGCAAGUUUAAAAAACCAAAAAUAUUUCCCCACAGAGCAUCAGGAGAAAUGCUGAAACCGGAUGUCUAAUGCUUUUUCUGAUGCAAUCAACCUGCCCAUCUUUGCUUCCAAAGCUGGUUAUGUUCCCAGUGUCAAGUAACAACUAACAACUCCAAACACUGUGAUCACUGAAACAACAAGUCUCACUCAAGAAGAAGAUUAGAGAUGAACAUUUAGUAUCCAAUGUUCUUAUUUUUUAUCUUAGCAUGCAGAUGCAGCUCAAAAUGUUUGUUGAAUUGUUUUUGGUGCAUGGACUGCACAUGUGUUUGAGCAGGUAGUAGUGCUCACAAACGAGCCCCUCGGAGAAUAUGCAGCCCUGAUCUUGUAAAACUUCUACAACUUUCCAUUUGGCCACAUGUGCAUCACUGUACAUCCUUUCCCUCUCUCCUUUUCUUUCUUGUGAUUCUGUUACAGAGACAGGAAAAUAAAAGUGUUUAUUAGUUAACAGUUCAAGUUUAAUCUUUUUUUUUAAUGCUUUCAUGUUGUCACAAGGUAUUGGCAAAGUCAUUAUGAUCAUGAAGAAAUCACAGGA
This is a long non-coding RNA of Anarrhichthys ocellatus (wolf-eel), 2494 nucleotides long. RefSeq lists it as uncharacterized. NCBI's taxonomy places the organism in Eukaryota, Metazoa, Chordata, Actinopteri, Perciformes, Anarhichadidae. The record is from RefSeq and is a predicted model, not a curated record. The transcript has 2 exons.